AAAGAGGGAAGGAGAACCAAACCUAACUAAGACAAAAAUCUGCAAAAUUAUCAAAUCGAAGGAUGAAAUUGAUGCCAGUCUUAUGCAUGUGCCCGAAUAAGUGAUCAUCUAUGCUUGUCUAACGAGUAGAUAGGAAUCACAUUAGCAUGGACUCAAGCAUGAAAGGCUAACGGGUCAAGAGGAGACAAGGAAGUGGAUACGGACACGGAUGCACAAGGUGGUACAGAAUCAGGGAUCAACAUGAUGGAAGGCUAGUGAUUGAAGAUCGAGUGAUAGAGACAUGGAUUGUACAGAAUGGGUGGUCAUGUAAUCUGUAUUAGUAUGUUAUUAUCGAUACGUUAAUGAGGGAUAAACAAUGUAGUUCCUUACAUAAAGAUGUUUUAAAUGAUUUUCAAGUAAAAA
Long non-coding RNA from Helianthus annuus (common sunflower), 402 nucleotides. RefSeq lists it as uncharacterized. The transcript is spliced from 3 exons. NCBI's taxonomy places the organism in Eukaryota, Viridiplantae, Streptophyta, Magnoliopsida, Asterales, Asteraceae. The record is from RefSeq and is a predicted model, not a curated record.